CUAUACUAGCAUUGUAGUUAUUAAGAUCUUUUUUGCAACUACAAGUUUUUUAAAAGAUCAAAAUUAUGUUUCAAAAUAAAAUUUCAAUCAUUACAUCUUUUCAAUAUAUGCUAGACAGUUAUUGAAUUAUUGUUUUAUAAUUAUAUUAUUUUCAAAGUUAGUAAUUUCGAUGGUUCGACUCAAAACAAGUGAAAUACAAAAUGUUUCUAUUAAAUUACUGAUAGGUGAUCUAAAAUGGGGCACAUUUCGACUAUGAUUGUACGGCGGUAAAUAAUUUCGCAGUGAUCGUCAAUUACUUAAACUGCAUCUUACCUAUGAUUAAAAUCAACACUAUAUUAGUUGUAUACUUGCACUUUUAUUCAUGCAGAAAGUAGAUCAAGCUAUUCAGUAAAGAAAUGAACGGUAAAAUAUAAAUACACAAUAGGGCACGUAGAAUUGAAGUCAAGUCAUCCGACAAUAGUUAUAAUGACAUAUGAAGCACUGCCUACAACGUAGACUUUUCAAUAAAAUGCAAAAAUCAACAUUAGCUGAUCACAUUUUAAUUAUUUGUAAUGACAGAAAAUGCAUUAUUAAAAAAAGCACCAAGAUUAGUUCAAAUAAUUUCAUAGGAGGCAUGUCAAGUACCUUCAAUAUACAAAUAAGGAGAUGUGGUAUAAUUGCAUAUGAGUUGAGACAAUUUUCCGCCAGAAACCAAAAUGCAAGGUCUUUCCGAAUUUAUAAUCUGUAUUGCUAUAAAGUUAAUUAGUUCAUACCAUUAUACAGCUAUUGCAUUUACCUGUCAAAUUAUAAGUACUCUAUAAUUCACAUUAACACAAAACUACAUUUUCUAUUCAUGUUUCUGCAUUGACGUGCAGUUUAGGUUUGGAUAAUACAGUACAAAUAUGCCACUGUACCUAUUGUUUUUUAUUAUCAUGACUUUGCUUCCGACAAAGUACUUUGGAACUUUGUGAUUGAAUAUACUCGGGGUAAGUACGUUUACUUGUAGUUUGUUUUAAUUAAAAUCGAUGUGUUUAAUCUGUAAUUGGAUUAAGUACAUACUGAAGCAUAGGCAUAACUGUCUUUUAAAACUUUUUGCACCAAUUUGCAAAACACAUAACACAUUAUACCCAAUAGAUCCAUCAAACCAAUUGGUAUCUAGUAAUACACAAAAUAUUGUAAACAUCUUGGUAUAAAUAACAGUGCCAGUACAAUUCGUUUUAAAGUACACUAUAAGAAUAUACCUAGAAUAAAAGCCAUGAAAAAACUACGCAUAACAAGGACAAUAAUAUAUGAACAUGAUAAACAACAGCAGAAUUCAGUUAGCUUUCAACAUUUACUAUUCAUGGUUUUGGUUGAAAACGAGAUAACAGAUAAGUGACAGUAAAAUGGUUUUUCUAUGAAAUGGAGACUCUGAUAAACUACAAAAUCGUUGUUGAAAUUUGAAUAAAUUAAAGUUUUGUUUUGUUACAGAGUGAUUUCCCUUGAUAUAAGACACAAAACGGAUGGGGAAAAAGAUGAUCAUGAUUUUCAAACAGAGUAGCCAUCCUAUAAUGAGUAAGUACAAGUAAGUAAAAGAUUUAAUAACUACGCCAAAAUAUACUACGCAACAAUUAUAAAUAUUAAAUUGAAGUGGUUUUUUUUUAAAAUGAAUUCAUAAUUAUUUGGAUAAUAUCAUACUUUACUUUAAAAAAAACCAUGAAAAACUAAGAUAUGUCUCUUGCAAAUACGUUCAACGUUAUGUUUAGCAUGUUCAAAGCCGAAACAAUAAGUAAUCUCGGGCAUAAUCAAUUUUCCAUUAUUCGGCUAUAGUUGAUGUAAUGUGACCACAUUUUGUAUCACAUGAUGAAGACCUGGGUGUAUAUUUAAAUUUGUCGUGAUUGGUUGCAAAAAUGAACGUAGAAUAUGUUGUGUUUGUAUUGAUUUUUAUUCUUUUUUUCUUUUUAAAUAAUCAGUAAAAGCAAUAAAUGACAUUUUGUUUUGUCCUUCAGGCUCACCAAAUUAUACAGAUGCCAAUAAACGUAUUAUACAUAUACAUGAUAAAGGGACGUUCUCAUUCUCUUUAUCAUAGUAUUUGUAUCUACCAUAAGCAACAUGAUGAGUUAACUGAUAUCUUCCAUUGUUUUAAGUAGGGUAAGCCAUGUUCAGUCUUUAGUAUUCUAAUUCGGAUUGUAUGAAAUGGUCGUCUACUGAUAAUUCACAAUAAUUUUCUUCAUGGGUAUUGAAUAUUACGUUGAUACCUUUGCCGCUUUUUUUUUACAAAAUAUAAGAAUAGAUUAUAAUGACAAUUUGUCCAUGUUAUCUUCACUUCUUAGAUGUAGACUAAUGUAAAUGUACCUGCCGUCUCUUUUUCAGCGGUUCACCGACAACUAACUAUAGAGGGAGUGUGAGACAGGUUACAUCAUUAUGUUAGAAAACAAGCCCAUACCAUAUAUUCGACAAUCAAAUGUAAGUACAGAAAAUCAGAGAAAUGGCGUUUGUUAAGUUUUAGGAAACAAGGUUUAACUUAAUUGUAGGAGCUAAUUUUACGAUAAAUUUAUUAAAAUAAAAACAAAAAAUAC
RNAcentral lists this long non-coding RNA (2537 nucleotides) under Mytilus galloprovincialis (Mediterranean mussel). The record is from RNAcentral. Lineage: Eukaryota; Metazoa; Mollusca; Bivalvia; Mytilida; Mytilidae.